GGCCUCGUAGCUCAGCCUGGAUAGAGCACUUGCCUUCUAAGCAAGGGGUCGCAGGUUCAAAUCCUGUCGAGGCCG
This 75-nucleotide transfer RNA is filed under the name Candidatus Pacearchaeota archaeon CG1_02_32_132. Its description in RNAcentral is "tRNA-Arg". It matches the Rfam family "tRNA". Rfam says of the family: Transfer RNA (tRNA) molecules are approximately 80 nucleotides in length. The record is from RNAcentral. Lineage: Archaea; Nanobdellati.